GCGCCCAUCGUCUAUCGGUUAGGACACAGGGUUUUCAUCCCUGGAAGCGGGGUUCGAUUCCCCGUGGGCGCGCCA
This 75-nucleotide transfer RNA is filed under the name Lentisphaerota bacterium. RNAcentral's name for it is "Lentisphaerae bacterium (freshwater metagenome) tRNA-Glu". It matches the Rfam family "tRNA". From Rfam's summary of the family: Transfer RNA (tRNA) molecules are approximately 80 nucleotides in length. Their secondary structure includes four short double-helical elements and three loops (D, anti-codon, and T loops). Further hydrogen bonds mediate the characteristic L-shaped molecular structure. tRNAs have two regions of fundamental functional importance: the anti-codon, which is responsible for specific mRNA codon recognition, and the 3' end, to which the tRNAs corresponding amino acid is attached (by aminoacyl-tRNA synthetases). tRNAs cope with the degeneracy of the genetic code in two manners: having more than one tRNA (with a specific anti-codon) for a particular amino acid; and 'wobble' base-pairing, i.e. permitting non-standard base-pairing at the 3rd anti-codon position. Lineage: Bacteria; Pseudomonadati; Lentisphaerota. The record is from RNAcentral.